This 523-nucleotide ribosomal RNA is filed under the name Epacris pulchella root associated fungus EP4. RNAcentral's name for it is "eukaryotic LSU rRNA". The stretch from base 182 to 335 matches the Rfam family "5.8S ribosomal RNA". The record is from RNAcentral. Lineage: Eukaryota; Fungi.
AGGGAUCAUUACAGAGUUCAUGCCCUCACGGGUAGAUCUCCCACCCUAUGUUAUCGUUAUCUUUGUUGCUUUGGCGAGCCGUCAGGCUUUUAGUCAGGCUACCGGCUUCAGCUGGUAAGCGCUCGCCAGAGGACCCUAAACUCUGAAUGUUAGUGUCGUCUGAGUACUAUAUAAUAGUUAAAACUUUCAACAACGGAUCUCUUGGUUCUGGCAUCGAUGAAGAACGCAGCGAAAUGCGAUAAGUAAUGUGAAUUGCAGAAUUCAGUGAAUCAUCGAAUCUUUGAACGCACAUUGCGCCCCUUGGUAUUCCGGGGGGCAUGCCUGUUCGAGCGUCAUUACAACCCUCAAGCCUGGCUUGGUAUUGGGCUUCGCCGUUUUGGCGGGCCUUAAAAUCAGUGGCGGUGCCGUCGAGGCCCUGAGCGUAGUAAAUAUCCUCGCUAUAGGGACCCGGUGGUUGCUAGCCAUGAACCCCCAACUUUCUAAGUUUGACCUCGGAUCAGGUAGGGAUACCCGCUGAACUUAA